RNAcentral lists this small RNA (384 nucleotides) under Pan troglodytes (chimpanzee). RNAcentral describes it as "processed transcript". Lineage: Eukaryota; Metazoa; Chordata; Mammalia; Primates; Hominidae. The record is from RNAcentral.
AUUGCUCCAAGAUGGCGGCGGCGGCGGCAGCGGGAGCGCAGCUCAGCUGGGCUGGAACUGCCCUCCUGGAACUCCCCCAGCCUGCAACCUAGGAGGUGCAGGGACUGAGGCUCAGGCCAAAUCGCAACUCAGACCCAGUGAACCCAAGGCCUGAAGAGAAUUUGGAUUCAUUUACAUUGUUUUGUGGGGACUGGAGAGACAAGUAAACUCUCAGAGUAACUGUCCCCUCUGACUACCAUUUCUAAGGCAAGCCCCCUGUUUCUACUCUUGCGCCCCCUUCUGGUUUCCUGCCCUGUCUGUAAGUUGCAUGGCUUUUGUCCGUCUUUUUGUUUGUUUGUUUGUUUGUUUUGAGACAGGGUCUCACCCAGGCUAGAGUGAAGUGGA